ACCUGAGCGGCCCGGGUGCCGCAGCAGGGCGCUGACGAGUCCCGCCGAGCCCCGCCGCCCGGGUUCAAGGCCGCCUUCACGCCCACGAUUCCUUGUUUUUUGGGCAGAGGUCAAGGCUCAACGGAGAGGGAGCCCGGGACCGAGUUGUGGUGGGAGUUUGCUCCUAACACCCGCGAAAUCCUACCUCAAUUCCUCAGAUGGCCUGAGGGAGAAACCGGAGGGCCCGGGAAUGGCGGGGAGCUCCAGUUCAGAGCCGGAACUCCGGACUUCUGCAAGGCCAGACGUGAGGCGACACUGAAUUGCUCCCGAGACGCGGGAAGGGCGAAGGCAAUCGAAGCGAAGAGCUUUAACUCAUCUUCUCCAGGAUUUGGGGCACGGGAACCUGUCUCCUGACCUUCGUGCCUUACCUCGGAGUGUGCUGCCCAGACGGACUUGUGAAUAGCUGCGUCUGUCCCCAUAGUUAACGGGAGAAGGAAACACCAGGAGAAAAGAAGGAAAAGACAGGAAACGGGAAGAGGAGCAGAGGCGAGGAAGGGGAAGGUCAUUUCCUUGGCAGGGUAGGCCCUCUUUCUUCUAGGUCUUGAGUUCCUGCCAGGCAAGAAAUGCUCUUUCCCCUCUCCUGAUGAACACCAGGUUGGAGGGGGAGGAACUGAAGAUGCGGGAAGACUUGGGGAGUUCGGGCAAAGUAGCACAUUCAAGCAUGAUCUAUUUUUAUUUACGGACAGAAAGAAAUAUUAGUUCUGUUAGGUUCCACCGAGUAAACUAUUUGUUGAGAGAGCAAGAUUUGCCAAUCCUGGGGGUAUUAAGGAAAGAAAAGGUGGUCCCUGACCUAUGGGAUACAUGAUUCUAGUAUGAAUACGUAAUUACAGGAUGAAUAAUGAAGCCCACCGCUUAUGCAGUACUGACUGUGUGCUUUGCCUGUGCUGACACCUAUGUUAACGCAUUUAAUUAUCAACACAAUCUCUGGAGUGUGGGUAGCCUUACCCCAAUUUUACAGGUGAGACCUGCAGCACAGAUUGCUUAUGUGGCUUGCUGUAGGUCAGGCAGCUGUCAAGCAGCAGACUCCAAAAUCUGGGCCCUUAACUGAGCUGCCUCUACCAUGCUGCCUCUAGAAAAUCUAUGGAAGAAGGGUUGUAUUAAAAGGACAGUGUAACGUCUUGAAUUGUAUAGAUUAGAGUUCUUGUUAAGAUGACUAAUGUUAAAAGAGUGCAAGCAGAGGAGGAAUCGAAGUCAGGAGGGCUCACAGAGCUGAGGGGCCUGGGGUGUGAUGUAGACAUGCAUGCAGGGUUUGGGAGUCAGGCUGCCUGGGUUUGGAUCCAGCCUAGAUAAAGUACUCAGCUUUAUUGAGCUACAGAUUCCUCUUCUGUAAAAGAACGUCCACCUCAUAGGUAGCUUAAAAUUAAAUGUGAUAAUGAGUGUCAAGUGCUCUGCACUGUGCUUGAUACGUUUUAUGAAGUCAGUAAAGAUUAACCACUAAUUAAUUCUGAACUUUGCUUGAGAUUGUAGGCUCCUGUGGGAAGGACUCCAUCGCAUUGAUCACUGGGUUUUCCCGUGCCAUCCAUAGAACUUUGUGCUUAAUAAUGACUCAAUAAAUAUGAUUAGAUGGAUGGAUGUAAAAUAUGGACUUGGGAGAAAGAAAAAUUAGAAGAAUAAAAAAUAAAUGGAAUGAAUAAUGAAAUAAUAAUAGUCAUAUUAUUAUUUCACUCAGCGUUUGCAUGCCUUGUCACAUUACUUCUUAUUAACCUUACCUACAAAGAAGUAAAGUGAAUUGCUUGCUGCAAGUUUGAUGGGACUAAAAAGAAGGAAAGUGAGGCUUUGAGGCUUAGAGAGGUAAAGUAAUAAUUCACUUAAGGUUACAUAACUAAGUGUCAGUGCCUCCAUCUGGACUCAGAUCAGGUGACUCUAGAGCUCAUGUUCCUUAUCACUGUGUUUGCAGCAUAGCAUGAAGAAGGGGGUAAAGAAAGAAGCGUAUUCUUGGGCAAUUGAUUGAAGUUCUGUGUUAGCUAUAAUUUGUUUAAAAAUUCUUCACUUUAGGCAGAGGAGUCUCUGUGUGUGUGUGUGCAUGUGUGUGUGUGUGUGUGUGUGUGUGUGUAUACAUUAACUUUAAACCCUAGAAGUGGUUAGUUUUUAUUCGAAUACCAUAAUCAGUAAUUCAAAUCCCCAGCAUGGUAAAUUAGCAUUAAAGAAUUCCAAACUUUGGAGGCCACUGUAUCGAGUGUCACCAUCUAAAUCUGCUCUUGGCAAUAGGCCAAAUUGACUUGGUCAAGAGGCCACAGGUACAUCAGUAUUGUAAAAGGGGUUUGUUGACUUUGAAAGAGCAGGACAGAUAAAUUCAAAAGGCCUAAAUUCAAGAUCCAAUUCCAUUUGUAGUUGGCCCUUUAAUCUUUUGAAAUCACUUAUCACCACCUCUGGACCCUUCUUUCCUUAUAUGUAUAGUGGGGCUUUCAAAGAGCUAAUGUAGACCAAAUUCAAUGCUAUACGUUUAAACAGUAAGUAACACAAUACUAUAUAUAGAUCUAGGGAGUCCCACACCAUUGAUAAUCAAAAUGCCAUUAAGGGGGAUGCAGAAUAUACAUGUGGUAUAAUUCUAAGGUAUAAAAUUAGGGGAAUUACAUAUUAUCCACAUAUGUGUGUGUGUGUGUGUGUGUGUGUGUAUAUAUAUAUAUAUAUAUAAACAAUCUAGACAUAAACUGAAGAGUAGUUACUUUGAGAGCAGAAGAUUGGGGUCGUGGAGAGUGGGGAGGUCAGUGAGUAUGGAAGGAGACUUUGCUUUUACUGUACGACCCUCUGUAAUGUUUAAAAUUUUCAAACUUUAUAUCUUGAUCAUGUUUACAAUCGCUACAUUUUUAAUUUAAAAAGAUUGUUUCUAUCAGUGAAUCUUGCCAAGAAAAAGAGGUGGCGAUAGAGAAAAAGAGCAACAAAUCAAAAGAGAUUAUGAUUAUAUUGCAAUAAAGCUGUUUUUUAAAAAGAGGAUAUGGAUUUUAGAACAUUAGGAAACAUUGUCCUAAGCCAUAGAAACCACUGUUUAAAACCUGGGUACGACUACAUGGCAUUAAUGAGUCUAGUGCUGCUCAGAAGAGAGAAAUGCUAGAGGACCAGAUAUUUGUAUUAUUUUAAGAAAUGACUUCUAUUAUUUAGAAAAUUUAUUAUUUUAAAUUUAUACUUAUUUAAGUAUUAAAUAUUUAGGUAUAUCUGAAUUUAAAUAAAAUUCUCAAUUUCAUUCUGAAGAUGCACUUAAUAAUGAAGUCAGGUAGUGAAAGUCUGAUACCUUGUUUGGUGACUUCCUGCAACUCACCAUGGGGAAGGUUCCCCCACUCAGGACUUCAGGUGCAACCUGUGGUGUGCUAGGAAUCAUCUGCGCUGAGUGUAUUUAGCAGGAUGAGCACCAGGGUUCCAGCAGGCUCACAUUUCACUAUGUAAGCACCAAGUGAAUGGGGGGAUCCUUGAGGGGCCACACUUUGCCAGGAAGGUUCUUUCCAGAUUUAUCUUCCACUUUAACUGUCUUCAGGGGAUUUUUCAUCAAUAUCUGGUAGCCCCUCAGCGACUCUAGUUUGGAACACAUCUCAAGGUAGAUUCAACAUAUUACAUGAACUUGUCAGAUUGUAUGACAAGGAGAAGGAGUUAAUUAAGUGGAGAAAGGGUGGUGAGGUUCACAGAAAGAGGUCGGGGUAUCCGCAAGUAGGGGAAUUGGAACAGAAAUAGUCCAGUAUGGAUACAGCAGUGGUUCUCAAACUUCAGCAGGCCUAAGAAUCACCUGGAGGGCUCCUUAAAAGAGAGAUUGCUGAGUCCUAGACCCAGAGUUUGAGAUUUGUUAGAUUUGGGGUGGGGCUUGAGAAUUUGCAUCUCUAACAAGUUUGCAGGUGAUGCUGAUGCUGCUGGCCCAGGGACCAUGCUUUGAGAAUCACUGAGCUUAAAGAUUUGGGAAGAAGAUGGUGAGAAUUGAAUCUGGAGAGGAAGGCAGAUUGUAGGCCAAGUUAAGAAACCUGAAUUAUAUUCUAAGGGGCAUUGGGAAGCCACUGGAAGUAACAUGUUUUGGCAGGUGUUUUAGAAACAUUGCUACACAAUGAUGAGAGUGGAUUAUGGAGCAGGUGGAGCACUUACCCUUCCUGGAGGCUAGGAGAUAGUUAGAUGCCUUUCUGGGUGAGAUAUGUGAGGGUGAUUGGAGAAGGUGAGGAGAUUGUUUCUCAAAGUUCUUAGAAUUGUAUGGAUUUGAGAAAUGUUUAGGUGGAGGGACUGGCAAUUGUUUGGAUAUGAGCAAAGGGGUGGUGAGGGAGAGGGAGAAAUGAAAGGUGUCUAGGCUUGGAGAAUCUGCUAAAGAGGGCUGUAUUUAUGGAUAUGGGGACCAAGAAACAGAAGCAAUAUGAAUAGAAAAACAGGGAAUUCAUUUUUAAACAAUUUUUAGAGAAAUGGUCUCACUCUGCUGGCCAGGCUUGAGUGC
RNAcentral lists this long non-coding RNA (4438 nucleotides) under Homo sapiens (human). RNAcentral describes it as "non-protein coding lnc-ASB4-7:4". Lineage: Eukaryota; Metazoa; Chordata; Mammalia; Primates; Hominidae. The record is from RNAcentral.